UGUUGAAAUUAUAGUUGCGCAGGUACUUUGUUGACUCCAGAGAACUUCGGGCCAAUCGCACAUCCCCGUGACAGCGACUUUGGAUGCAUUCGGAUGUCAUCCACAUCAACUUUCGAUGCCAGUUUCUGCGCCUACCAUGGUGACCGCGGGUAACAGGGAAUCAGGGUUCCAUUCCGUACAGGGACCCCGAGAAUCGGCUACCACAUGCAAGAAAGGCAGCAGACGCGCAAAUGACCCACUCCUGACAUGGGAAGGUAGUGACAACA
Non-coding RNA from Pelobates cultripes (western spadefoot toad), 266 nucleotides. The record is from the annotation of a GenBank genome assembly. Lineage: Eukaryota; Metazoa; Chordata; Amphibia; Anura; Pelobatidae.